This 330-nucleotide long non-coding RNA is filed under the name Populus trichocarpa (black cottonwood). Its description in RNAcentral is "long non-coding RNA (PTRI_LNC000873)". Lineage: Eukaryota; Viridiplantae; Streptophyta; Magnoliopsida; Malpighiales; Salicaceae. The record is from RNAcentral.
GUCCUCUCUCCUCUGUUUAUGAAAGUAGAAUAAAAGUAUAAUAAAAUCGUCUCUGGUGAGCUGCAGCUCUACCACUUUUCAGUUUCAAUCUUCUUCUUCUUUGUUUCUGCUAUUUGUUUCCAACAAGGUGCUGGUGUUGGCGUUGUUGGAUCUGCUGCUGGCAGGGGUUGCUGUGAUGUUGAGGAGCUGGUGGCUGAAGCUAAUGGAGGUUGUUUCGGACUGAGAAGAUGAAGAUCUUACAGUUGCUACUGGACGGAGAAGAGAUGCAACCAUCUGCUAGUGAUGGAAAUUUCUGCUGGACUGAAACUGACCCCAUGCUGGCGAUGGGAG